RNAcentral lists this RNase P RNA (381 nucleotides) under Anaerolineae bacterium. Its description in RNAcentral is "RNase P RNA component class A". It matches the Rfam family "Bacterial RNase P class A". From Rfam's summary of the family: Ribonuclease P (RNase P) is a ubiquitous endoribonuclease, found in archaea, bacteria and eukarya as well as chloroplasts and mitochondria. Its best characterised activity is the generation of mature 5'-ends of tRNAs by cleaving the 5'-leader elements of precursor-tRNAs. Lineage: Bacteria; Bacillati; Chloroflexota; Anaerolineae. The record is from RNAcentral.
CAAGCAGGUCGGGCGGUCGCGGUUGGAUCCGUCCAACUGAGGAAAGUCCGAGCUCCACAGAGCACGGUGCUGGAUAGCGUCCAGGCGGGGUGACCCGACGGAAAGUGCCACAGAAAACAACCGCCUUCGCCGCCUCGCGGCGGAGGUCAGGGUGAAAAGGUGGUGUAAGAGACCACCAGCAGUCCGGGUGACCGGGCUGGCUAGGCAAACCCCACCGGGAGCAAGACCAAAUAGGAGGGCAAGGCGGCGCUGGCCGCCAGCAGGCUGCUCGUCUGCGCCCUUGGGUAGGUCGCUAGAGGUGGCAGGUAACUGCCACCCCAGAUAGAUGACCGCCAGCCGCUCCUGCGGCUACAGAACUCGGCUUACAGACCGGCUUGGGCA